Long non-coding RNA from Felis catus (domestic cat), 1060 nucleotides. RefSeq lists it as uncharacterized. NCBI's taxonomy places the organism in Eukaryota, Metazoa, Chordata, Mammalia, Carnivora, Felidae. The transcript has 3 exons. The record is from RefSeq and is a predicted model, not a curated record.
CAUGCUCUCUCUCUCUCUCUCAAAAAUAAAUAACCAUUAAAAAAAUAUAUAUUGAGUCCUGGAUCCAGCCUCCAGAGAUUCUGAUUUGAUUGGCCUGAGUGCAGCUGGGGUAUCAGGAGUUUAUCAAAGCUUCCACAGUGAUUUUAAUGGCCUGCCAGGACUGAGAACCACUGGUCUAGAGAUAAUGCAGAUGAGUAAGACUUGUCAAAAUUUAUAAAGUGCUUUGACCUCAGAUGUCAUAGCCACAGGUCUAUCACAAUGUAGGACAGUUGGGAACAGGGUUGCAGAGGGGCACAGAAACUAUGCAGAGUGGGGAAAAUCUUAUUUUCUUCUCAUUCAAAUAAGAAAUGAUGGAUAUUGUCUUCCUAUUACAGGGAUCAUCGUAGGCAGCACCAGAGAGACCUGGCUGCAAUUGCCCUCUGGUCGUAGGUUAGGGGAGUGCUGUUGGAGCGGUGCUGAAUUCACAGGGUCAACCUCUUGUCGGCUGAACGGUUUACAAAUUGAGGAUUCCGCUCCGAUAGGUUGAUUUCUUGUUGCUUGUCCAGUUUUUAAGCCGGGAAGAGAAGCCUUCUGGUGAUGUGAUAUGAAAACAUGGUAUGUUCUGCCGGAUUUAGUUAAUCUGCUGCUGCUGCUGCUGCUGCUGCUGGUGAAUCAAAGGAAGAAGGAGGAGGAGGAGGAGGAGGGAGAGAAGAGCUACCGACGUAGCUGUUACUCACACAUCCGCGUUGCACUGAAUUUACUGGCUAACGCAGUGACAACAGCGAUUAUUUUUCUCAACACCAGUGAUGCCGUGGGACCGUUCAGGGUUCUGUGAAGGGACUGCCCAUUGGCGUUUUGUGCCAGACCGGGCAUUUUCACCUGGGUAGUGCCUUCGGUUUUAUUCAUUUUUCUGGACCCUGAGCCCUUGGCAAGCAAAACGAGAAUUCGGAGCCGUCUUUUUUUAAAUGGCUUCAGCAGGAGGGCUCGGCCCAGGAUCUCUCCGCCCCCUUCCCACUGAGAAACUCAGACCGCCGUUUUUUAGCUGUUUACCCAAAAACGAAUAAACAAAACCUCGCGAUGA